AGCGAACGUUUGCGGCGGGCCUAACACAUGCAAGUCGAACGGGCUAGCAAUAGUCAGUGGCGCACGGGUGCGUAACACGUGGGUAAUCAACCCUUCAGCUCGGGAUAACGCCUUGAAAGGGGCGCUAAUACCGGAUGCGACGCGAGGAGCCUCGGCGCUUCGCGGGAAAGAUUCGCAAGGAUCACUGAAGGACGAGCCUGCGGCCCAUCAGCUAGUUGGUAGGGUAAAGGCCUACCAAGGCCACGAUCGGUAGCUGGUCUGAGAGGAUGAUCAGCCACACUGGGACUGAGACACGGCCCAGACUCCUACGGGAGGCAGCAGUGGGGAAUAUUGGACAAUGGGCGCAAGCCUGAUCCAGCAAUGCCGCGUGUGUGAAGAAGGCCUGCGGGUUGUAAAGCACUUUCAGUGGGAAGAACAGAUUCGGGUCAAUACCCCGGAGCCCUGACGUUACCCACAGAAGAAGCACCGGCUAACUCCGUGCCAGCAGCC
RNAcentral lists this ribosomal RNA (489 nucleotides) under uncultured bacterium. RNAcentral's name for it is "bacterial SSU rRNA". It matches the Rfam family "Bacterial small subunit ribosomal RNA", at positions 29 to 516 of the family's 1533-position model. The record is from RNAcentral.